GGGGCAAGCGUUAUCCGGAUUUACUGGGUGUAAAGGGAGCGUAGACGGUUAUGCAAGUCUGGAGUGAAAGCCCGGGGCUCAACCCCGGGACUGCACUCGGAACUGGCGUGCUAGAGUGUUGGAGAGGUAAGCGGAAUUCCUAGUGUAGCGGUGAAAUGCGUAGAUAUUAGGAGGAACACCAGUGGCGAAGGCGGCUUACUGGACAAUAACUGACGCUGAGGCUCGAAAGCGUGGGGAGCAAACAGG
This 246-nucleotide ribosomal RNA is filed under the name uncultured bacterium. Its description in RNAcentral is "partial 16S ribosomal RNA". It matches the Rfam family "Bacterial small subunit ribosomal RNA", at positions 531 to 776 of the family's 1533-position model. The record is from RNAcentral.